GAGGGCGGGGCCGGCGGCACUGGGCGGGCGUCAGCCAGCGAGCAACCGCAGCCGCAUUCCCUGAGCCGGGCGCCAGCACCGCACAGGUCUGAGUCUGGCACCCUGGCCAUGUGCAGCCCUGAGGAGGAGGCCUUGCUGCAGCUGGAGGAGGUCUUCUCAGUCACCCUUGACCAUAUCAACAACCUUGUCCUCCAACCCCUUCUCAAGGCUGCUGCAGAGCCCUCAGACCCCUGGGGCAGAGAGUGCCUAUCCCUCCUACAGCAGCUGCACAGGAGCUCCAGGCGGCUGUGGGAGGUGACGAAGGAAAGCCUGCACUCACUGCAGGAGAGGCUGCACCACCCGGACUCCUUUGGUCUGGAAGCCCUAUUGCUGCUGCACAGCGCUGACCACAUCCUGCAGAUCCACAUAGAGUACAUCGAGUCCUACACAAGCUGCGUGGUGGUAAAUGUCUUUCAGAAGGCAGCAAAGAGAAGGAGCGAGUACUGGCGGGCCCAGCGGAAGAUGCUGCAGCAGUUCCUGUCAGGCAUGAGCUCAGCGGGCUCGGUGGGCACAGUGCUGGUACAGGCCCUCCACCAGCCCCUCGCCCAUCAUGUGCAGCAGUAUGUGUUCUUCCUGCUGAGCCUUGCGGACACCAUUGGAGAGCAUCACCCCUCCCGGGAGCUGGUGGUGCAUGCAGCUGAACUCUUUGGGAACCUGCAGUCCUUCAUGAGUCAGGAGCUGGACCAGGCCAUGGCCACACAGGCUCUCCGGCACACCCUGAGCAGCCGGGUCGGGGAUGUGCUUUGCACCCCAAGUCGCCGACUCUUGCAAGACAGCCAGGACAUACCCGUGACAGUCACUCCACUGAGGUCAGAGCGUGUGCUGCUCUUUGAUGAUUCCCUCGUCCUGCUGCAGGGCCACAGUGUCCACACCUUUGAUCUGAAGCUGGUAUGGGUAGAACCUGGGCAGGACGGGUGCAUGUUUCACCUCCUCACGCCUGAAGAAAAGUUCUUCUUUUGCUCCAAGGACCCUCAGGGCCGGGUGGUCUGGCAGUGGAAGGUUACUCAGGCUGUGUGCCAGGCCUUGCGUGGGAAGAAGGACUUCCCAUUGCUGGGUGCAGGCCUGAAACCUUCUGAAACCCCCUCCUGCCGCUGUGGAGCAUACACCUUCCUCUCGGAGGGCCGCUUCUGCCAGGCCACCUACGAGGGCGAGUGGUACUGGGGCAAGCCCCAUGGCAAGGGAACCCUGAAGUGGCCAGAUGGGAGGAAUCACGUGGGGGAAUUCUGCCAAGGCCUGGAGCAUGGCUUUGGCAUCCGCCUGGUACCCCAGGCCUCUGAGGACAAGUUUGAUUGUUACAAGUGCCACUGGCGGGAAGGCAGUAUGUGUGGCUAUGGUAUCUGUGAGAAUGGCACCAGCGAGGUGUACAAGGGCUACUUCCAGGAGGGUCUGCGGCAUGGAUUUGGGGUCCUCGAGAGCACCCCACAGGCUCCUCAGUCCUGCAGGUACACAGGACACUGGGAGAAGGGCCAGAGGAGUGGCUAUGGCAUCGCAGAGGACAGUGACAGGGGUGAGCGCUAUAUUGGCAUGUGGCAGGCUGACCAGCGCCAUGGACCAGGGAUCAUAGUCACCCAGGCGGGCGUCUGCUUCCAGGGGACUUUCCAGGCGGACAAGAUGGUGGGCCCAGGGAUUCUUCUCUCCGAAGAUGACUCCUUGUAUGAGGGCACCUUUACCAGGGACCUGACCCUUCUGGGGAAGGGCAAGGUCACCUUCCCCAAUGGCUUCACCCUGGAGGGCUCUUUUGGCAGCGGGGCAGGAGGAGGAUUGCACACCCAGGGUGUACUGGACACAGCUGGCCUCCCUCCAGACCCAGGCAGCACUCGUAAGAGGCAGCUGGGUCUGGGCGCCUUCCCUGUGGAGAGCCGCUGGCAGGGCAUCUGUGGCCCCUUCCAGGACUUUGUUCGUGCUGGCUGCCCUGGGGACCUGCAGGAGGCCCUUCUCGGCUUCCACGUGCAGAGCUCAAAGGAGCUGCGCAAGUCCCAGGAGUAUCUGUGCUGCGAGAGGACCCACCCCGAGGACCACACAGGCAGAAUGGAGGACAUCCUGGAGGAGCUGCUGCAGCACCGGGAGCCUGAGGCCCUGCAGCAGUGCCUCAGGAAGGCUCUGACGAACUCACUGCACCCCCUGGGAAAGCUGCUUCGGACCCUGAUGCUGACCUUCCAGGCCACAUACACAGGCAUCGGGGCCAACAAACACCUGCAGGGGCUGGCACAGGAGGAGGUGAAGCAGCAUGCCCAGGAAAUCUGGGCUGCCUAUAGGGGUCUGCUGCAGGUUGCCUUGCAGCGCAAGGGCCAGGCCUUGGAGGAAGCUGAAGAUGCAGAGACAAGGGACCUGCAGGUGCAUGGAUUGGUGCUACCCCUCGUGCUGCCCAGCUUCUACUCAGAGCUUUUCACUCUCUACUUGCUUCUUCAUGAGAGGGAGGACAGCCUGUACAGCCAGGGCAUCAUCAGCCUGAGCCUCUUCCCCGACACCAAGCUGCUUGAGUUCCUGGAUGUGCAGAAGCACCUAUGGCCCCUCAAGGACCUCACGCUGACAACCAAUCAGAGAUACUCCCUGGUUAGGGACAAGUGCUUCCUGUCAGCCACUGAGUGUCUGCAGAAGAUGAUCACCACGGUGGAUCCCCGGGAGAAGCUGGAGGUACUGGAGAGGACCUAUGGGGAAAUUGAGGCCACUGUGUCACGAGUGCUGGGCCAGGAGUACAAGCUGCCCAUGGAUGACCUGCUGCCACUGCUAAUCUACGUGGUGUCACGUGCCCGGGUGAUUCUUCUCCAGAAUCCAGCACUUGGGAGCUGAGAUCCACCUGAUCCGUGAUAUGAUGGACCCCAUCCACACAGGAGGCCUGUAUGACUUCCUGCUCACAGCCCUGGAGUCCUGUUAUGAGCACAUCCAGAAGGAGGACAUGAGGCUGGACCGCUUGCCCCGCCGCUGGGACCUCAGGGAGCCAUGGUAGCUCAGCUUCUCCUGGACAAGCUGCAGAACUGAGAGGGGCCGCCAUGGAGUUCCCGUGGAGCAAGCAUGGCCCAUCGUGGUCCUUGUGGCCCAGGAGGCAGAGGCAGGAUGGGCCCUGGAGGAAGGCCUUGGAGGGCAUGAGCAUUUAGUUUCUGACCUGAUUGGGAUGAGGGUGAGGCUGACUGGUGUGGCCCCUGAGCUGGUGGUUUUCUCCCCCACCCAUCCCCUGCCACUCUCUAGGCCACCCUCGGGUGACCCCCUUGACCUAUAGCAGCUCAUAGGCUUGCCUGGCCUUGCCUCUAGGUUAUCGAGCCUCUCUGGGCCUCAGUGCUGCCAUCUGUACCAUGGGGACUAGGUGGUCUGUAAAGGCCUUCCAUUCAUCUUGCUGAAUUCUUGUGUCCUUCCGGAAGUCUGACUUUGUUCUUCUGGGUUGUAACUGAAGUUCUUGUGUCGCA
Molecule: non-coding RNA, 3440 nt
Organism: Sus scrofa (pig)
Lineage: Eukaryota; Metazoa; Chordata; Mammalia; Artiodactyla; Suidae
Source: RefSeq, a predicted model, not a curated record